GGUUCAGAAGCGAAAAAUCGCGCUAAGUUUCGGCCUUAGAGGUGGGAACUAAUAUCCCCUGAACUU
This 66-nucleotide transfer RNA is filed under the name Placida sp. 1 NY-2013. RNAcentral describes it as "tRNA-Arg". Lineage: Eukaryota; Metazoa; Mollusca; Gastropoda; Limapontiidae. The record is from RNAcentral.